AUCUUCCUAAUGUAUUCUUGGAGCUUGGCUGUUUCAUCCUGGAUAGUGGAUUUGAUGUUUACUAAUCCUCGGGCCUCUCUUCUUCAGUCUCUUAGGGUGCUGGAUUUGGGGUGAAACCCUCCAUGCAUGUUUAUAUUAUUUUAUUUUGGAUCUAGGGCAACCCUGGACCACCAGGUAUGCCUGGUCCUGAGGGCCGACCAGGAAAAGAUGGAACCCCAGGAAAAGAUGCUGAGCCAGGUCCACCAGGUUCACGUGGAGAGCAGGGUCCCAGAGGCUACAGAGGAGAAAAAGGCAGCAAAGGGGAUCUGGGGUUAUCAGGGAGAAGCCGGACCACAGGGAAACAGAGGACAAAUGGGACACAAGGUCAGAUUCAGCGUCUGGAGGAGAACUGCUUCUAAAACUACAUCUUAUUGCAAAUAAUGUGUUUGUAACCAGGGAAAUAAAG
Molecule: long non-coding RNA, 445 nt
Filed under: Betta splendens (Siamese fighting fish)
Lineage: Eukaryota; Metazoa; Chordata; Actinopteri; Anabantiformes; Osphronemidae
Description: lncRNA (ENSBSLG00000001024.1)
Source: RNAcentral